Molecule: ribosomal RNA, 252 nt
Filed under: uncultured bacterium
Lineage: Bacteria
Description: partial 16S ribosomal RNA
Rfam family: Bacterial small subunit ribosomal RNA
Source: RNAcentral
UACGGAGGAUGCGAGCGUUAUCCGGAUUUAUUGGGUUUAAAGGGUGCGCAGGCGGAUUUUUAAGUCAGCGGUCUAAUCGUGGGGCUCAACCCCAUCCAGCCGUUGAAACUGGGGAUCUAGAGUGUGCGAGAGGUAUGCGGAAUGCGUGGUGUAGCGGUGAAAUGCAUAGAUAUCACGCAGAACCCCGAUUGCGAAGGCAGCAUACCGGUGCACAACUGACGCUCAGGCACGAAAGCGUGGGUAUCGAACAGG